UGGUAACUCUCGUAGCCUUCUAAGGUCCCAUUUUUGUGAAAGAACCCGAGAGAGGGAGAGGCCGUGUCUUCUUCUUCUUCGUCCAUUCUACUUCUUGAUCUUGUCUACCUCUUGCUUGUGUCUUUGUGACCCUUACCUGUGUGGUAUUCAUUCUUUGUGAGUGAGCAAACAACAAGCAGAAGGAAGAAAAGCAACCAUAGGUAGAACUCGUAAGGUCGGCGGCGAGUACCUUCGAUUUUGGUGUUGAUUCGGUGUUUUAAAGGUUAACUGAGCCCGGAAAUUAUCUUGAGCAGCUUGAGGAAGAUCCUAACAUCUGGUAUCAGAGCUUGGUUGGCAAAAAUCGGCUCAAAAUUGGUUGAUUUUCGCGAUUUCAUCCUUUUACCCGAAUCUGAAAUUCUUCAAUUACUCACAAACCAAAACUCGGUUGGACAAACGGAGGCCAUACCCAUUACCAGCAGGUCGAGGCGCCCCUGGUGAGGUGGCGCGUGGGCAGCGACGGCGUGUGGGCGGCAUUCUAGCGAAGCUAUCUUCAGGUAACUUGCUUGUUUCGAUCUCCUGAACGCGCUGAUAUACUUUGUUUUGUAUUUCAGGUUACACAGAAAAAGUUGGACGAUUUUACCCCUGGUGCGAUACUGACUGCAAUUGAACAGCAAGCUCGUUUUUCUCUACUCUACGGACUCAGAUAGGUCCGCUCUGGUAAAUUGGCUUAAUCCAUUUAAAUUCAGCAAUAGUAAGAUCAUCGUGUGGGGUGAUCGUCAGGUUUUGGGGUUACCGUGAAGGGGUAACCAUUGCUUGUGCUAGAACUAGGAUUACUUGCGUUAAUUGAGUGCUUGUUCUUUUGAUUUAAGUGCUUGGUAUUUCUUGGUGGACGUAGCGUUUAGAUUCAUUGUUACUUUUGCUAAGAAUUAACAAGAUAUUACCUUAUCACGCUUCCCAAUACUACUUCGUUUGGUCUAAUUAGUGUGUUAACCAAUGACAACACAUAAUUUUGAUUUGGGAAUAUUUAACGGUAAAGGAGACUUCUCUAUCUGGCAACAAAAGAUGAGAGGCAUAUUAGUCCAACAAAAGGUGUCAAAAGCCAUCGAAGGCAAUUUUGCACCUGAUAUCUCAAAAGAACAAAAAGAGGAAGCCGAUGAGCUUGCCUAUACCUCAAUAAUAUUACACUUGUCUGACGCUGUCUUAAGAAAAGUGGGAAAACUAAAAACCACCAAAGAACUUUGGAAAAGACUAGAAGACUUAUACUUGCUUAAAUCUACACCGAAUAAACUCUACCUACUCGAACGAUUCUUCAGCUUUAAGAUGGAUCCUUUAAAGGAUCUCGACGACAAUUUAGAUGUAUUUAACAAAUUGGUGCAAGAUAUUGUCAAUUGUGACGAAGCCGUGUCUGAGACCUAUAAGGCUAUAAUCUUGCUCAAUUCAAUCCCGGACUCUUAUAAAGAAGUUAAGAAUGCCAUUAAGUAUGGUAGGGACACAUUAACACCUGAAAUUGUCGUAGAUUCUCUUAGGAGUAAAGAGAUGGAAAUGAGGGCUGAAAAAACAGGAUAGGAGGAGUGGAGAGUUGCAUAUGAUGCGGGGUAGAACUCAAUUUAGGCAAGCCAGUCAUGAUGGAUACCAAAGUAGUGGCGAAUUAAGUAGUAAUAGUUGGAAAAAGAAGGGCAAUGGUAGACCUAGGUCAAAGUCUAGAACUAAGGCUAGAAAAUGCUAUGGCUGUGGAGGCACAGGGCAUUUUAUAAAAGACUGCCAUAAAGAAAGGGGAAAACAAAAGAUUAAGGAAAGAGAUGAGGUAAAUAUGUUAUCCUCUACCUCCGAUACCGAAAACGGUGAAUUCUAUUUGAUCACUAGUCCAGUCGCAUACACUACUGAAUUGAAUCUAACUACUAAUUCUCACAUGCAUGAAUGGAUAUUAGAUUCUGGUACGUCUUUUCAUGUGACGUCUGAAAAGAACUGGUUUGAAAACUUGCAAGAAUCUAAUGAUGUGCAAGUAGUUCUGUGUGAUAACUUUGCCUAUACAAUUGCUGGAAUUGGAGAUAUAAAGAUAAAAUUUAACACGAGCUUUGUGUACAUGUUAAAGGAAGUUAGAUACAUUCCUGAAUUAUCUAGGAAUUUGAUUUCAGUAGGAAGACUUGAGAAAGACAACUUCACCGUUAAAAUUGGAAACGGUAUGUUUAAAAUGAUGAAGGGUGCGUUAAUCUCUAUUAAGGGAAUCAAGAAAAAUGAUAUUUACAUCACUACUGGGGAAGUAAUUAGAGGAUUAAACUCCUCUAUUUCUUCCGCCAAAAUCGAUCACACACAUACGUGGCAUAGUAGGCUUGCACACGUAGGCAUUAAGGGACUUAAGCUACUUAAUGAAAAAGGUGUAAGUAUUAUGCCCUAGGUCCAAUUAACUUUGGGCAUAAAUGCUUUAUAUAUAUAUAUAUAUAUAUAUAUAUAAUUAAUGCAAUUUAUGGCAGAUCUAUUAUUUAAUUAAUAGACAAUUAAAUAAAUAAUAGAGUCUGAAGAUUCAAACUUCCGUAAUUUGUUAAUCACAAGGAGUUGUGAUUGUGAGAUACAAAUUACAUCUGAUUGAAUCUUAAAUCAUCCAUGGUCGUAAGUAAUAACAAGAUACGGAUAUCGUUAUUACGGAUAGACCAUCACGUGUGGCAUUUCUUACUUGUGAAGUAAGUAGCUGAUCUCACAAGUUAAAGUGUGGUGACACUUAAAUGAACACGUGGAUGUUUUGUUAUAGAAUAAAACAUUGGAGAUCCGUCGAGAGAUUCCACACGGAUAACUAUCUGAGUGUCAGUGGUUAAUCUCUAGCGUUCAGUAGUGGAAUUGGUCCUUUGACUUGAGGUCGUCAUGGUACCUUAUAUGAGGAGAGUCAUACUUUGGCGGUGUUGGAUGUUGCUCUAAAAAGGGCCGCUAAUAUGACAUCGUUCGGGUACGUCAAGAGUCGUAUGAAGGUUGUGAUUGAUCAAUAAAGGAUUCGUCACUCUUAGAUAGUAGGAGAUUAUGAUCUGCGUUUCAUUCAAUUAAGUCGAUGAUGAAAUUCUUGGCCAAAGUGUACUCAUAAGUAGAAAAGGAGUUUUCGACUUAUAUUGACUUAAUAGUAGAGUGAAAGAUAUGAUCGAUGAUCGAGAUUGACACAAUUUCAUAUCUCGUAAUUGAUCGGAUCAUAUUGACGAAGGGAUUAUAGUUUCACGGUAAACGAACGAAUUUGGUUUUGUCAUAUCACGUGACAUUUUUCGUCACAUGUAUUGCCCUGACACAUUGUUAAAUGUCAAUCAGGGACGGCGAGUGUAAAUUGACGGUAAAUUAAAAGGGUAUUUUAAUUUAUCAAUUUUGAUUAGAUCAAAAUAAUAUUUCACGUAUCGUGGUCGGAAACCUAAUGGGUCGUACACAAAAGAGAAUUGGAAGAUUGCAAAUUGUCAAUUGGUUAAUUUAACAAUCGUUGGAUAAAUUAAUUAAUUGGAUUUGUUAUUUAUAUUCCCGAAUUAAUUAAUUGGAUUAAUUAAUUCACGGGCCGAGUUUAAUUAAUUGGAUUAAUUAAAUAUUGGACCGGACCGGGCCGAGCCCGUUUGGGUUUAUAUAAAUACAUGGCUAGGGUUUAAGGUCCAUAUGGUUUUCAUUAUUUUUGCUGGCACAAGAGAGAAAACCCUAGUAGCUGCAAUCUUGUUCUCUGUGUGGAUUACCGUUGGAGGCUGGACAAUUAGACAGCUGUGGAUGGCGAAUCAGGAUUGCUGGAAUGAAAAGAAUAGCAAAGAAGUUUGCAGAUCUGAAAAGGUACAAUCUUAUCACAAUUUCUAUCUAAACACAAAGGCGAUUCUUGGUGAGAAUCGAAGAUUAUUUUAAAUUCCGCUUUGUAUAUAUAAGUAGAUUCCCAACAGUGGUAUCAGAACAUACUUUGUGUUUGUUAGAAGUUGCUUUACAUAUUGGAACAAUUAAAUGUUAAUUGUUUUUCUUGUUUUAGCGAUUAAGGAAAUAAAUAAUUUUUCACGUUCAAAAUCAGGUUUUGAAUGAAAAUUAUUUUGGGAUUGGAAUAAUUUGUGAAUUCAGAUUUCAAAAAAAAAAAGAAAGAAAGGGGGACGGUUGAGGCGGCGGCAACCGUUGCCACCGCUGGCGAGGAGCGGCAGCGGCGCUCACUGCCACAGUCUAGGGCAGCGGCGAGCGCCGCUGCUGGAUUGCAGCGAGCAGCAGCGAGGUGCUGCUACUCGCCGCUACUGGAGGAAGCAGUAGUGCCCCUCGUGCUGCUGCUCGCCCCUGCUGGAGGAAGCAGCAGCGCGCGGCGUUGCUGCAAUUUACUGUAGCAGCGUCGUGACCUGCUACAGAUUUAGGAAGUCGCCAGGCGCGACUUCCUGUCGUGAAAGGGAAGGGGCGGCGCCCCAUGAAUUGAAGAGAAACAAAAAAAAAUUAGGUUUUCAGUCGGUUUUGGGAAUUGGAGGCGGGGGCUUCUGAUGCAAUUUGUGAAAUUUCAAGCCCCCGUUUGCAAUAUCCAUUUGGGGUCAAUUUGUAAGUUAUUUAAGUAAGGGACCGUUUUGAAUUAUUUGAUAUUGAAGACCCUUACUUGUAAUUUCACUUCGGUGGUAAAGUAGUAAUUUUCAAAUAAGGACCUAUUUCUGUAAUCUGUGAAAUUGCGAGGGUCGGUUUUGAAAUUUUCGAAAUUUUGAGACUUUGAUUAUAAAUUUUAACUUGGGUCAAAUUUCAAUUUCCAAAUGCUUUUGAAUUGGUUUUUAAAUUGUUUUUCAAAUGGGUUUUGACCUAUUUUGACUAAAUUUUUAAUUUUGACUCAAAUUAAAAUUCUUAUUUAUUAAUUGAUGACAUUUUAUAUUUUCGUUAAAAUUGGAUUUUAACUUAAAUAUUAUACUUUAACCCCAAUUAAAUUUUAUUUUAUUUAGGAAUGUUAUCCUAAAUUAAAAUAUUAAUUCAUUUUAAUUUAAAGUUGGACUCUAAUUUAGCAUUUAAUUAAAAUUAGAUUUUAAUUAAUUAUUCACCCCGAAUAUAUUCUAGAAAUUAGAAUUCGAUUCUAAUUUGACAUUUAAUUAAAAUUUGAUUUUAAUUAAAUUAUCCCGCCCUAAAUUUCUUCUUGAAAUUAGAGUUGGACUCUAAUUUGGUAUUUAAUUAAAAUUUUGAUUUUAAUUAAAUUAAUUCGCCCUAAAUAUUGGAAUUAGAGUUAGACUCUAGUUUUGUCAUUUAAUUAAAAUUUGAUUUUAAUUAAAUUCAACCGCCUUACAUUUUGAAAUUAGAGUUUGAUUCUAAUUUGAUAUUUAAUUAAGAUUUGAUUUUAAUUAAAUAAUCCCGCCAUAUAAUUUUUGAAUUAGAGUUGGACUCUAAUUUGUUAUUUAAUUAAAAUUUGAUUUUAAUUAAAUAUUCCCGCUAAUUAAAUAAUCGAUUAAUAUGAUUAAUUAAUUAUUUAAUUAUUCCGAUCCAUUUGUCUAAAAGAGUUUAGACGACUUAAUUGCUAGAAACUUAAAACUUAUUUGCAUAUAAUAUUAAAUAUUAUAUAGGUAUACAUUUAUGUGAUGAAUGUAUUAUUAGUGGACGAUUGUGGAAUCGACCAUAUGGAUUUGUUGAAUGGUUAAUUUUAAUUCUUGUCGUUUUGUGGGCCUGUGAGCUCUUAAUUGUUUUGGGCCUACGAGCUCUUAAUUGUUUUGGGCCUGCAAGCCCGUUAUUAUUGUUAUUAUUUUGGACCUACGAGUCCAUUAUCAUUAUUGUUAUUAUGGGCCUGUGAAUCCAAUUUCAUUUAAGCCUGCGUGCCAACUAGUAUAGGAUACAUGUUGGAAUUGGACUAAUUGAAGAGACAAGAAGAGGUGGAGACCAUGGAGAUGGUGCAUUGACACUGUUCAAUGCCAUACUCCCUAGGAAUUGACCAACUAGUCUUCAUUAUGGCUCGGGAAGACUAGAUAGUGAAAGUCCAUUAUCGUCCAUACUAUUAUAUUAUGUUAUAUAUAUAUUUAUUUGUAUAGUAGAUGUAUAAUAAUAAUAUAUAUAUGAUUGUAUUGUUGUUGAUGAGACUCAUGAAUGCAAAAUCCCUCCAUAAAAUAUUAAGUCACAUUUGUACUCGCCUUCCAUCAUUAUAGUGAAAAAUCAGAGUCCCAAAUCGUCUCAACUUGUUGAGUACACUCAAGGCUGGUCCAUUAGGGAUAUGUUUGACACUAUGAAAUAUUUGAUAUUUCUGAAUGAUGGGUUUGACUUAACUAAAAUUUAUCUUUUGUUGAGUACACUCAAAGAGAUAAACUUUAGAGGCAUGUUAAGUUAACACAUAAGAUGUGUGAAAACAAAGAGUUGUCAGCUUAAUGAUCUGGGAGUUGUAUGGAGAUACAAUUGAUAAUAGUAUCUACCCAAAUAUUAUAUUAGGGCUUGUUGAGUACACUCAAGGUCUUGAUAUAAUAGAUGGGAUCCCAACCCACUGGGAGUCAAGCAUGGACUCCAUAAAUUUAUGUGAGAGGGUGAUAAAUUUUAUUUAAAUAGUGGGAGCAUAAUUAAUUUAAUAAAAGACCAUGUUAAAUUAAUUGAUGCAUUUUAUAUAUUAUUCUUUCCUUUUUCGUCAUUUAUAUUUAUUGAAUCUGAGUAACCAUAUGUUUUGAAUGACAUACUAGAUGUCAACAACCAAACUAUAUUUUCUUAAUUGACACUGUAAUUUGAGAAUUGUUCUUAUGCAUGAGAAAAUUGGUCACGUCCUUGAGUAGCCAUUUCCAGAAAUACCUACAGAUGACUCAAUUAAAGAAGAGGUGGCUACUGUAGUAAACGCAGUUUAGUACUGCAACGUAUGUGAUACUUGCAACUAAGUCACUGAGUUACAAAAGCGACUUGAGAGUAUAGAUGUUAACACAUAAUUCUUCAUUACAAAGAGUUGUAUGGUAAUAAUCAUGUGUGGAAGGAUAUGAGACUUCCAAACAACUAUAUCGGUGCAAAAUGACAAAGUAAUCUUCAAUCGAUGCUUAGACACUGAAGAUGAUUGACGUUGAGAAAUGUCUCAACUGUGUUCAAUCAUAAACCAUGAACUAAGUAAUGACUUGGUUUUGUAAUCUCUGUCAGCUAAAGCUAUUCACAACUAAUUAUGAAUUUAACGUGAAUAAGCUCGAAUGCAAAAAUAUUGAGUUGCUUAACAUGCUUAGGACUGUUGACCCCUUUAUCAAAGUUGGUAGUGGGCAAGCCAUUGAUUCCUCUAAAGAUAUUAAGAGGAAGUCUAAAGGGGCUUUGUGAAAGCAUCCAAUAUGGUUAAGACAGUAUAAGCGAAGGACAAAUACCAAAUCUAAUGACCCUUGGUUUCAUUAUAGAAUGAAAGGUCAUUGGAAGGAAUAUUGCGUGACUUACGUCUAUUUCAUGAGUUUCUUAGGUAUUUGAUACCAGAUGUAAAUCUCAUAUUUAUACAAAUAUGGAGAAACUUAAAAGAAGUAGACCACUGCGAAAGGGAGAAGUUGACAUACACAUUGGAGAUGAGCAAAUGUUGCUGCAUUGCCUGUAUGAAUAUACUUCUUGCCAUUGCCCUUUUGUUUUAGUAUUGGAAUUAGAGAAAUGUCAUUUUAUACCAACCAUAGCUGGAACAUUAAAAUGAAUUUCAUGUUCGGACAUGAACUAUUUUAAUGUUAAGGACAAUAGUUGUUCUUGUUUAUCUUAAUAAGAUACUAAUGGCUAUGGUAAAUUACAAAACGACGUUUAUAUUCUUUAAUACUAAGGAUUCUAUAAUGAGUAUAGAAAUUAUAAGGCAUAAAUAUUAUAAUCUAAUUAUUACAAAAAUCUGGCAUGAUAGACUUUGUCAUUUAGAUUAAAUGUAAUUCCAAAGUUACAUAAAGGUGUAUACUUGGAAUUAAUUGAUUUUGACAAGUACAAAUUAUGCAUGUCUGGCACAAUGACCAAAUCUUCUUUUACUUGAAAAGAUGAAAGGUCAGCAUAAUUACUGGUCUAAUGCAUAGUGAUGCAUAUGGAUUCAUGGCAAUCAAUGUCAGGUAAUGUUUCUCUUAUUUCAUCAAUGAUCAAGUAUGCUUGAUGAAAAAUCAAACAUGAAACUCUUGAAAAGUUCAAGGGAUUCAAACUAGAAUUAGAGAAACAAAUAGGUAAAGAUACCUUCACAUUAAAAUUCGAUCAAGUGAGAGUAUCUUAAAGAUAACAUCUAGAUUAUUUAAGAGAGAAUGAGAUUCUCUUGCAGUGGACUCCUUCAUAUAUACUGCAAUAAGGUAGUGUAUCUAAAAGGAGGAAUCGUUAAUUAUUAGAUAUAAUGCGAUUAAUAACAAGUCAUGCAAAUCUCCCAAAAUUGUUUUGGAGUCAUGCAUUAAUUGCAGUGUGCAACACGCUAAAUCAUGUCCCAUCUAAAUUGGUUAACAGAACUUCAUACGAGUUAUGGAGAGACACUAGUCCCAAUUUAUCGUAUAUGAAAGUUUGGGGCCAUGACGCUUAUUUGAAGUGCCUUAAAUUGGAUAAGUUUGAGACUAAAUCCGAUAAAUACAUAUUUGUGCGAUAUUCAAAGGAGAGAUUUGAAUAUAAAUUCUAUUAUCAUGAAGAAAGUUUUCAUCUCACGACACAUCGUCUUUUUAGAGAAAAUGUUUACUCUAAGAGAGGACAGUGGGAGUAAAAUAGAAUUUUGAAAGAGUUCAAGAGUCCACAGAUAUAGUUAACCAAGUAGAUAAAUCCGAGUUUGAUCUCAUAUCUGAUAUGGGACAUACUUUGGAUCAGGAAGUAAAGACUCCUGAGGACAUGACAGCUCUAUGUAAAUCUAGUAAGAUCAUUCGACCUUCAAGAAUGUGCAAAUCCAUGAUCAUUAAUCAGGUAUUAGUGAUCCAGGACAAUAAACCUGCUAGUUGCAACAAAAUAAAGUCAAGUGUUGACUUAAAAGAGACAGCAAGAGGCCAUGAAACUCGAGAUGAAACUCGACGCAAGUGAACAAGGUUUGGACCUUGGUCAAGCCUCCUAAUGGAAUAAAGCUCAUAAGCUUUUGUUAAAUAGUUUACAAAAGAAAAGGUCGAUAUGGAUGUGAAUAUCUAUAUAUACAAAGCAAGGCUAAAAGCAAAGGUUAAAUGUUGACCUUGGUGAAACAUUUCUCCUAUAGCCUUGCUUAAGUCCAUUCGGGUUUUGUUUGCAACAGUUGCAUACCGUGACUAUAAGUUAAGAGAAGUCUCUUGGAGUUGAAAUCUUAGAUUUGAUGAAAAGUCAAAGUGUUUGAUUUUAUCAAAUUUGAAAAUGAAUUGUAUGUUUACAAGAAGAUAGUGGGAGCAUUUUCGUAUUCCUAAAACGACAUUCCUAUGUUUCAAUCGUUGAAAUAAUGGUUGUUAAAGGAUUUAUUCUCGAACGAUAUUGGAAAAGCAACUUGAUCUAUAGAGAUAAAUCUAGAGGGUUGCUUGACUCGUUUCAAUCUAUAUAAAAUGUUGAGAAGAUGUUACAUGGAGAAAUUGGUUUACUCUUAAACGGUGUGUUGGAAAGGUUCCGAACAUGAAGCAACCGUUGAUUUAGUAGUAGAAACCUAACACAUGAUUACUUUAGAAGUAGCAAGAAAUUGCAAUCUGGAUCAUGAUGUUCAUAAAUGAACUUGGAGUAGUUGAUAUUGUUGAUCACAUGUCAUUGUAUUGUGAUAAUAAUAGAAUCAUUGCGAAAGCAAAGGAACUAAGGUCUCAUCAAUGAUCCAAACAUGUAUUAAGGCGGUAUAAUCUCAUCAGAGAGAUAAUACAUAGAAAUGACGUAAAGUAAAGAAAAGAACAAAUUUCCACAUUUAACAAUAUUGCAGAUCCACGGACAAAGAGUUGUCAUAACAUAAACAUAAUCGUCAUGUAGACUUAUGAUAUUGAAUACAUAAGUGAUUGGAUCUAGUGCAAGUGGGAGUUUGUAAGUAUUAUGCCCUAGGUCCAAUCAACUUUGGGCAUAAAUGCUUUUGAUAUAUAUAUAUAAUUAAUUCAAUUUAUGGCAUAUCUAUUAUUUAAUUAAUAGACAAUUAAAUAAAUAAUAGAGUCCGAAGAUUCAAACCUCCGUAAUUUGUUAAUCACAAGGAGUUGUGAUUGUGAGAUACAAAUUGCAUCUGAUUGAAUCUUAAAUCAUCCAUGGUCGUAAGUAAUAACGAGAUACGGAUAUCAUUAUUACGGAUAGACCAUCACGUGUGGCAUUUCUUACUUGUGAAGUAAGUAGCUGAUCUCACAAGUUAAAAUGUGGUGACACUUAAAUGAACACGUGGAUGUUUUGUUAUAAAACAAAAUAUUGGAGACCCAUCGAGAGAUUCCACACGGAUAACUAUCUGAGUGUCAGUGGUUAAUCUCUAGCGUUCGGUAGUGGAAUUGGUCCUUUGACUUGAGGUCGUCGUGGUACCUUAUAUGAGGAGAGUCAUACUUUGGCGAUGUUGGAUGUUGCUCUAAAAAGGGCCGCUAAUAAGACAUCGUUCGGGUACGUCAAGAGUCGUAUGAAGGUUGUGAUUGAUCAAUAAAGGAUUCGUCACUCUUAGAUAGUAGGAGAUUAUGAUCUGCGUUUCAUUCAAUUAAGUCGAUGAUGAAAUCCUUGGCCAAGGUGUACUCAUAAGUCGAAAAUGAGUUUUCGACUUAUAUUGACUUAAUAGUGGAGUGAAAGAUAUGAUCGAUGAUCGAGAUUGACACAAUUCCAUAUCUCGUAAUUGAUCGGAUCAUAUUGACGAAAUGAUUAUAGUUUCACGGUAAACGAACGAAUUUGGUUUUGUCAUACCACGUGACAUUUCCCGUCACAUUUAUUGCCCUGACACAUUGCUAGAUGUCAAUCAGGGACAGCGAGUGUAAAUUGACGAUAAAUUAAAAGGGUAUUUUAAUUUAUCAAUUUUGAUUAGAUCAAAAUAAUAUUUCACGUCGUUAGGUAUCGUGGUCGGGAACCUAAUGGGUCGCACACAAAAGAGAAUUGGAAGAUUGCAAAUUGCCAAUUGGUUAAUUUAACAAUCGUUGGAUAAAUUAAUUAAUUGAAUUUGUUAUUUAUAUUCCCGAAUUAAUUAAUUGAAUUAAUUAAUUCACGGGCCGAGUUUAAUUAAUUGGAUUAAUUAAAUAUUGGACCGGACCGGGCCAAGCCCGUUUGGGUUUAUAUAAAUACAUGGCUAGGGUUUGAGGUCCAUAUGAUUUUCAUUAUUCUUACUGGCACAAGAGAGAAAACCCUAGUAGCUGCAAUCUUGUUCUCUGUGUGGAUUACCGUUGGAGGCUGAACAAUUGUACAGUUGUGGAUGGUGAAUCAGGAUUGCUGGAACGAAAAGAAUAGCAAAGAAGUUUGCAGAUCUGAAAAGGUACAAUCUUAUCACAAUUUCUAUCUAAACACAAAGGUGAUUCUUGGUGGGAAUCGAAAAUUAUUUUAAAUUCCGCUAUGCAUGUAUAAGUAGAUUCCCAACAAAAGGUGCAUUUGGUAAUGACUGUGUGUCUGACCUAUCGUUCUGUGAUCACUGUGUGCUCGGAAAGUACCAUAGAGUGUCGUUCUCCACUAGUACGCAUAAGGCUAAAAGCAUGCUUGAAUAUGUGCAUUCUGAUCUGUGGGGUCCUGUUAGUAAUCUCACAUCGGGUGGGAAUAGGUAUUUCCUAUCUAUCAUAGAUGACUACACCAGGAAAGUGUGGGUCUAUCUAUUGAAAGACAAAACUGAAACCUUCCAUAACUUUAACAAUUGGAAGAAACAAAUGGAAAACCAAACUAGCAAGAGGAUCAAAUUUUUAAGGACAGAUAACGGCCUAGAAUUCUGUAAUACUGAAUUCGAUAGGAUGUGUAAAGAAAGUGGAAUAACAAGGCACAAAACGGUUCCCUAUACUCCCCAGCAAAACGGGGUAGCAGAAAGAAUGAAUAGGACCAUACUAGAUAAAGUGCGCUGUAUGAUGUUAAGUUCUGGGGUUCCUAAGUCAUUUUGGGGUGAAGCCGUUGUAACUGCCUGUUAUCUGAUAAAUUUGACUCCAUCGGCUGCAUUAAAUGGUGAUACUCCACAUGGGAAAUGGUCUGGAAAAUUGGGUGACUACUCAAUGCUUAAAGCGUUUGGCUGUGCUGCCUUUUCUCAUCAAAGUGAGGGAAAGUUAGAACCUAGAGCCAAGAAGUGUGUCUUUCUAGGAUAUCCCGAAAGGGUUAAGGGCUAUAGGCUAUAGAAUAGGAGCCAAAAAGGAGUUAAGAUCAUCGUGAGUAGGGAUGUCACAUUUAAUGAGAAAGAGAUGCCUUGUCUAAAGAACGAAACCGAACCAAUAAGUGAAACUGAAUCAAGUGAAGAAAGAAGUCGGUUUAAGGUGGAGUUAGGAAAAUUUAACACAUCAGUACCUAGUACUUCGAGUGAGGUGGAGAUUCAGGUCCAAGAACCUGAAGAGGAAAAUGAAGUAGUGAUAGAAGAGCAUCCUGAGGAAGAAAAUCCAUUAGCUAACUAUAAUUUAGUUAGAGAUAGAGAGAGAAGACAAACGAGAGAACCUAGGAGGUUCGGAUAUGAAUCUGAAUUGGAUUUUGCAUACGCUAGUUACGAAGAACUAGUUGAUAGGGAGCCGAAAACUUUUGAAGAGGCUAUGAAUAGUGGUCAAUCUAAGGAGUGGCUUAAGGCUAUGAAAGAAGAGAUGAGUUCUCUAGAAAAGAAUCAAACUUGGGAGUUAGUACCGAGACAUAAGAAUAAAUCAAUCGUUGAUUGCAAGUGGGUCUUUAAGGUUAAGGAAGGUACUAGUAGUUCAGAACCCUUAAGAUUUAAGGCUAGGUUAGUAGCGAAGGAUUACACACAGAAAAAAGGUGUUGAUUAUAACGAGAUUUUCUCACCAGUUGUAAAGUAUACUACUAUUAGGGUCAUGCUCACAUUGGUUGCGCUCUUUGACUAGGAACUUGAACAACUCGAUGUAAAAAUCGUUUUUUUAUACGGAGAGCUUGAUGAACAAAUCUUUAUGAAUCAACCAAAAGGUUUUAAAGACAAGUUAAAACCUGAUUAUGUGUGUUUUCUGAAGAGAUCCCUAUACGGUCUAAAGCAAUCACCUAGACAGUGGUACAAGAGGUUUGAUUUCUUUGUACUCAUUAUAGGAUUUCAAAGAAAUAAAUUCGAUCACUACCUAUACUUUCAACACAACGAGACUGAUAACAAUUAUUUUAGUUGGAUCAUCUCCUAAGUGGAUAAACAAUAUAAAAGCAGACCUUAGUGGAGAAUUUGACAUGAAAGACCUAGGAAAGGCUAAAAAGAUUCUAGGCAUGGAAAUAGAAUGAAAUAGGUCAAAUUCCAUCGUAUUCUUGCAUCAGUCUCCAUACAUAUCAAAGGUGUUGAAAUGGUUUAAUAUGAGUGACUGCAAACCUGUCACGUUGCCUCUUGCAAACCAUUUUGUUCUAUCUAAAGAACAAGCUCCCUGCAAUGAACGUGAAGUGGAAUACAUGAGUAAAAUUUCAUACUCAAAUGUGAUUGGUUCCAUAAUGUAUUUGAUGGUUUGCACUAGACCGGACUUAGGAUUCGCUGUUAGUACUCUCAGUAGGUACAUGUCUAAUCCAGGUCCUGAACAUUGGGAAGCAUUAAAGUGGCUUUUAAGAUAUUUGAAGGGUACAAGUGACGUAGGUCUAAAAUUUAGUGCUAAUAAGGAAGACGUGAAAUUAAAGGGUUUUGUAGAUGCUGACUAUGCAAGAGAUAGGGAUGGUAGGAAAUCAACUUCCUCUUACGUAUUCAUCUUAUCAAAUUCGUGUGUUAGUUGAAAAUCACAGUUACAACACAUAGUUGCACUAUCCACUACAGAGUCAGAAUAUAUUGUCACCACUGAAACAAUUAAAGAGGCUCUAUGGUUUAGAAGUCUACUUCAUGAACUAAGUGUCUUGAAUGAGUAUGUGGUUGUGUAUUCUGAUAGUCAGUCAUCCAUACAUUUGUGUAAGAAUCCUAUUUUUCACGAACGCACUAAAUAUAUCGAUGUUAGGCUACACUUCAUUAGGGAUAUAAUAUCACAAGAAGUAGUAAGACUUGAAAAAAUCCACACACAAUAUAAUCCUUCGGAUAUGGGCACAAAAGUGCUGCUACUGGUAAAGUUUAGAAGUUGCAAGGAGCUUCUAAAUAUCGGUAUAGGUAAAUCAUUUCUAAUUUUAUCGAUUUUCUGUUAGAGGUGUCACUAAUGGAAAAUGUUUUCUCUUUGCAGAUCCUUUGACACCAAGGUGGAGAUUGUUAGACAUCAUGUUGUCAAACGACCUCUCGGACGAUGAUGUAAACCAGUUUUAUCAGUCGACAUGAAUGACUGAACGAUAAAUCAACAUCGAAUAAUGGGAUGACCCGACUUAACGUUGUUUUACCUAUUGGAUGGCUAAUAAACCUUUGUGGCUUGUUGGUGUGCUAUUGGGCCAUAACCCUAGUCGAGCCCACUUACCAUAUGUAUAACUUACCUUAUUGUUUGUCAUUGGUUUAUUAUUUAUAUUGGUAACUCUCAUAGCCUUCUAAGGUCCCGUUUUUGUGAAAGAACCCGAGAGAGAGAGAGAGAGAGAGGCCGUGUCUUCUUCUUCUUCGUGCAUUCUACUUCUUGAUCUUGUGUACAUCUUGCUUGUGUCUUUGUGACCCUUACCUGUGUGGUAUUCAUUCUUUGUGAGUGAGCAAACAACAAGCAGAAGGAAGAAAAGCAACCAUAGGUAGAACUCGUGAGGUUGGCGGCGGGUACCUUCGGUUUUGGUGUUGAUUCGGCGUUUUAAAGAUUAACUGAGCCCGAAAAUCAUCUUGAGCAGCUUGAGGAAGAUCCUAACAAUGUUGAAAGUGUUAAAGCAAAAAUAUUUCAAGCUCCAUAGAUAAAAAAUGCUCUACUUGAAUUGGCAAUCGUUGAUGAUCCUAAAACAAAAAGUGAGGCGGGGUGUUUGGCAACAUACGAAAUAGAAAAUUUUGAAUUCUUACUUGGGAUGGUUAUUUGGUAUGAAGUGUUGAAUAAUGUUAAUAGAGUAAGCAAACAUUUGCAAAUAGAAGACAUCCAUAUUGAUAUUACUAUAGACCAUUUAAAAUGGCUCAUUUCAUUUUUCAAAGGUUAUAGAGAAAUUGAGUUUGAAUUCGCUAUGAUUGAUGCUAAAGAGAUC
This 14919-nucleotide long non-coding RNA is filed under the name Olea europaea subsp. europaea. The record is from RNAcentral. Lineage: Eukaryota; Viridiplantae; Streptophyta; Magnoliopsida; Lamiales; Oleaceae.